CCCUUAGAUGUCCUGGGCCGCACGCGCGCUACACUGAGUGUCUGAGAUACGAGUCUGCCUGGCCCGGCAAGGUCUAGGUAAUCGCUAAAAGACACAUCAUGCUUGGGAUAGAUUAUUGCAAAUAUUAAUCUUGAACGAGGAAUUCCUAGUAAGCGCAAGUCAACAGCUUGCGUUGAUUACGUCCCUGCCCUUUGUACACACCGCCCGUCGCUACUACUGAUUGGAUGUUUAAGCGAGGUUCUCGAACUGCUAGCGACUUAGCUUCGGUGAGGUCGCAGUGUGGGGAGUGAACCUAGCUUUGGUGUCUAGAGGAAGUAAAAGUCGUAACA
RNAcentral lists this ribosomal RNA (329 nucleotides) under uncultured eukaryote. RNAcentral describes it as "partial 18S ribosomal RNA". It matches the Rfam family "Eukaryotic small subunit ribosomal RNA", at positions 1470 to 1796 of the family's 1831-position model. The record is from RNAcentral.